Molecule: small nuclear RNA, 107 nt
Filed under: Balaenoptera physalus (Fin whale)
Lineage: Eukaryota; Metazoa; Chordata; Mammalia; Artiodactyla; Balaenopteridae
Also listed under: 1 other name
Source: RNAcentral
GUGCUCGCUUCGGCAGCACAUAUACUAAAAUUGGAAUGAUACAGAGAAGAUUAGCAUGGGCCCUGCACAAGGAUGAAAUGCAAAUUCGUGGACCGUUCCAUAUUUUU